Molecule: ribosomal RNA, 393 nt
Filed under: Salmonella enterica
Lineage: Bacteria; Pseudomonadati; Pseudomonadota; Gammaproteobacteria; Enterobacterales; Enterobacteriaceae
Description: bacterial SSU rRNA
Rfam family: Bacterial small subunit ribosomal RNA
Source: RNAcentral
CAAGUCGAACGGUAACAGGAAGCAGCUUGCUGCUUCGCUGACGAGUGGCGGACGGGUGAGUAAUGUCUGGGAAACUGCCUGAUGGAGGGGGAUAACUACUGGAAACGGUGGCUAAUACCGCAUAACGUCGCAAGACCAAAGAGGGGGACCUUCGGGCCUCUUGCCAUCAGAUGUGCCCAGAUGGGAUUAGCUAGUUGGUGAGGUAACGGCUCACCAAGGCGACGAUCCCUAGCUGGUCUGAGAGGAUGACCAGCCACACUGGAACUGAGACACGGUCCAGACUCCUACGGGAGGCAGCAGUGGGGAAUAUUGCACAAUGGGCGCAAGCCUGAUGCAGCCAUGCCGCGUGUAUGAAGAAGGCCUUCGGGUUGUAAAGUACUUUCAGCGGGGAGG